GACGAACGCUGGCGGCGUGCUUAACACAUGCCAGUCGAACGGAAAGGCCCUGCUUUUGUGGGAUGCUCGAGUGGCGAACGGGUGAGUAACACGUGAGUAACCUGCCCUUGACUUUGGGAUAACUUCAGGAAACUGGGGCUAAAACCGGAUAGGAGCUCCUGCUGCAUUGUGUGGGUUGGAAAGUUUCGGCGGUUGGGGAUGGACUCGCGGCUUAUCAGCUUGUUGGUGGGGUAGUGGCUUACCAAGGCUUUGACGGGUAGCCGGCCUGAGAGGGUGACCGGCCACAUUGGGACUGAGAUACGGCCCAGACUCCUACGGGAGGCAGCAGUGGGGAAUAUUGCACAAUGGGCGGAAGCCUGAUGCAGCAACGCCGCGUGCGGGAUGACGGCCUUCGGGUUGUAAACCGCUUUCGCCUGUGACGAAGCGUGAGUGACGGUAAUGGGUAAAGAAGCACCGGCUAACUACGUG
This 468-nucleotide ribosomal RNA is filed under the name uncultured bacterium. RNAcentral's name for it is "partial 16S ribosomal RNA". It matches the Rfam family "Bacterial small subunit ribosomal RNA", at positions 28 to 507 of the family's 1533-position model. The record is from RNAcentral.